Molecule: ribosomal RNA, 468 nt
Filed under: uncultured bacterium
Lineage: Bacteria
Description: partial 16S ribosomal RNA
Rfam family: Bacterial small subunit ribosomal RNA
Source: RNAcentral
GACGAACGCUGGCGGCGUGCUUAACACAUGCAAGUCGAACGGAAAGGCCCUGCGUUUGUGGGGUGCUCGAUUGGCGAACGGGUGAGUAACACGUGAGUAACCUGCCCUUGACUGUGUGAUAACUUUAGGAAACUGGGGCGAAUACCGGAUAGGAUCUCCUGCUGCAUGGUGGGGGAUGGAGAGUUUCGGCGGUUGGGGAUGGAGUCGCUGCUUAUCCGCUUGUUUGUGUGGUAGUGGCUGACCAAGGCUUUGACGGGUAGCCGGCCUGAGAGGGUGGCCGGGGACAUUGGGCCUGAGAUACGGCGCAGAAUCCUACGGGACGCAGCAGUCGAGAAUAUUGCACAACGGGGGCAAGUCUGAUGCAGAAAUGUCCCGUGCGGGAUGCCGGCCUUCGGGUUGUAAACAACUUUCGAAUGUGCCGAAGACGGAGUGACGGUACUGGGUCAAGAAGCCACGGCUAACUACGUG